CCCAAAGGACUUGGCGGUGCCUCACACCCACCUAGAGGAGCCUGUUCUAGAAUCGAUACUCCCCGUUCAACCUCACCACCCCUUGUUCAACCCGCCUAUAUACCGCCGUCGUCAGCUUACCCUGUGAAGGUUCCAUAGUAAGCAAAAUGGACAUAACCCAGAACGUCAGGUCAAGGUGCAGCGUAUGGGGUGGGAAGAAAUGGGCUACAUUCCCUAAUUUAGGGUACUACGGAUAGUGCUGUGAAACCAGCCCCUGAAGGUGGAUUUAGCAGUAAGAGGGAAAUAGAGUGUUCCUCUGAAGCCGGCUCUGAGGCGCGCACACACCGC
RNAcentral lists this ribosomal RNA (327 nucleotides) under Stokellia anisodon (Stokell's smelt). RNAcentral's name for it is "partial 12S ribosomal RNA". It matches the Rfam family "Bacterial small subunit ribosomal RNA", at positions 900 to 1393 of the family's 1533-position model. Lineage: Eukaryota; Metazoa; Chordata; Actinopteri; Osmeriformes; Retropinnidae. The record is from RNAcentral.